UGGGGAAUAUUGGACAAUGGGCGCAAGCCUGAUCCAGCCAUGCCGCGUGAGUGACGAAGGUCUUCGGAUUGUAAAGCUCUUUUACCAGGGACGAUAAUGACGGUACCCGAAGAAGAAGCUCCGGCUAACUUCGUGCCAGCAGCCGCGGUAAUACGAAGGGAGCUAGCGUUGUUCGGAAUCACUGGGCGUAAAGCGCACGUAGGCGGAUAGUUAAGUCAGGGGUGAAAUCCUGGGGCUCAACCCCAGAACUGCCUUUGAUACUGGCUGUCUCGAGGUCGAGAGAGGUUGGUGGAAUUCCUAGUGUAGAGGUGAAAUUCGUAGAUAUUAGGAAGAACACCAGUGGCGAAGGCGGCCAACUGGCUCGAUACUGACGCUGAGGUGCGAAAGCGUGGGGAGCAAACAGGAUUAGAUACCCCAGUAGUCCCUGAGCGGGCUGGCAAGGCGCAU
RNAcentral lists this ribosomal RNA (447 nucleotides) under uncultured bacterium. RNAcentral describes it as "bacterial SSU rRNA". It matches the Rfam family "Bacterial small subunit ribosomal RNA", at positions 355 to 825 of the family's 1533-position model. The record is from RNAcentral.